RNAcentral lists this ribosomal RNA (442 nucleotides) under uncultured bacterium. RNAcentral's name for it is "partial 16S ribosomal RNA". It matches the Rfam family "Bacterial small subunit ribosomal RNA", at positions 338 to 795 of the family's 1533-position model. The record is from RNAcentral.
CCUACGGGUGGCAGCAGUGGGGAAUAUUGCGCAAUGGGCGCAAGCCUGACCCAGCCACGCCGCGUGAAGGAAGAAGGCUUUCGGGUUGUAAACUUCUUUUGACAGGGAAGAGUAGAAGACGGUACCUGUCGAAUCAGCCACGGCUAACUACUUGCCAACAGCCGCGGUAAUACGUAGGUGGCAAGCGUUGUCCGGAUGUACUGGUUGUAAGGGGCGUGUAGCCGGGUGGGCAAGUCAGCUGUGAAAUCCUGAGGCUUAACCGCAGAACUGACUUUGAAACUGUUGAACUGGAGUACUGGGGAGGAAGGCGGAAUUCCGGGGGGAGCGGUGAAAUGCGUAGAUAGGAGGAGGAACAGCAGUGGCGAAGGCGGUCAGCGGGACAACAACUGACGCUGAGGAGCGAAAGCGUGGGGAGCAAACAGGAUUAGAUACCCCAGUAGUC